GCUAGUCUGUCAUCUAAAAAAUAGUUUAGUUCAGGACCUGGAAAUGCUGAAGUAAGUAUUUGACCCCAAUAGCUAACCAUAAACAACCUUGAUUAUUUAAUUUAGAGAAGUAUAUUCACAUAGAGCAUUUCAGGACACUUCUUUCAGAAGAUAGGAGAAUGAAAGCAUGGGAUGAAGACACUAGGCGUGGAAUAGUCACUUUAUGACUACAUGCAUCACAACUACUAUAAUAGUACCACUUUACAUGUUUCUAACAAGAAUUUUCAUGCCUUUCCAAAAAGCAUGUAAUUUUUGCCCAUUUUAUGCAGAGACAAAUUUGAAUACAUUUCUAAAACUCACAUAAAUUAGUGAUGGAGCUGAGUUCUACUUCUCAAUCCAACCUUCUAGACCCAAUCAAAGGUAUAAUUUCCCCCAAUUUUUGAAAGAACAUAAGAGAAAAAGGGAGGCUAAACGACUUUGGACUUCUUUAAGAUUAUACAUUAAGGCACUGGCUGAGUUCAGUAAGAUGAUCUGGUCCUUAAGUCCCCUGGAUUAUCAUUAACUCAUACCACAUCUAACACUGUUGCUAACCAACAGUGUUAUGGAGUGGAAAAUUUCAUGCCCUCAUGGAGGAGGGCAAAAGUAAUAGGUUUUUUGCCAGGGAAAUUUUCCCUUCAUUCCUCUCUAGACUGCACUCUGGACUUUUUGUGCCAUGCCUGAGAAACCUUUUCAUCUUGGAAGCUCAUUCCAGGCCUUGAAUUCACACGUUGUCAGAGGAAAUUAGCAGAACUGGAUACCAAUGGCUCAGACGAAGAAAGGAAGUUGGAUUCAAAAUCUUGAUGAGAAUCACAAUCCCUAUUUCAAUACAGAUGCUCAGAAGAAUCCCACUUAAAUUAAACAUCACAUUGGAUGAAAUGAGUCAAAGACAGAAGGCCAAAGACUGUUACAAUUGGGGAAAUUUCUCAAGGUUUGCAGAUGUGACCCCUGAAAUCAAUCCAUGAACUCCAAGUUAAGAAUCUCUGCUCCAGAAGAAAGAGUUGACUGACGCCCUCCGGAACACCUGCUCUUCCAAAGGCACAUAAAUUGUGCACCCACCACC
Non-coding RNA from Phascolarctos cinereus (koala), 1078 nucleotides. The record is from RefSeq and is a predicted model, not a curated record. NCBI's taxonomy places the organism in Eukaryota, Metazoa, Chordata, Mammalia, Diprotodontia, Phascolarctidae.